RNAcentral lists this ribosomal RNA (252 nucleotides) under uncultured bacterium. Its description in RNAcentral is "partial 16S ribosomal RNA". It matches the Rfam family "Bacterial small subunit ribosomal RNA", at positions 524 to 776 of the family's 1533-position model. The record is from RNAcentral.
UACGGAGGAUGCGAGCGUUAUCCGGAUUUAUUGGGUUUAAAGGGUGCGCAGGCGGCACGGCAAGCCGGCGGUCAAAUCGCGGGGCUCAACCCCGCCCAGCCGUCGGAACUGCCGGGCUAGAGUGGGCGAGAAGUGCGCGGAAUGCGUGGUGUAGCGGUGAAAUGCAUAGAUAUCACGCAAAACUCCGAUUGCGAAGGCAGCGCACCGGCGCCCUACUGACGCUCAGGCACGAAAGCGUGGGUAUCGAACAGG